AGAAAGCCUCAGCAAAGACUAGUAAAACUAGUGUUUUUUCAUAACUUGGCUGGAAUCAUCGUAAUGACUCCCAGCAUGCAAUAAUAUUUUCCCCUUGGAGUUUGGAGAGCAAGAGUUAAGAGAGCUCAAAUCCUUUAUUAUUCUGGGCAGCUGUAAAGGAAAGUAUUUUGCAUUUGGUCAGGAGAAAUUACUUGAGCAUAUAUUUUAAAUUGAAAGCGUUCACAGAACCGAACUGAUCUAAAUUGAAAUUAUCAUGGUUGUUCACAAGCUUUAAAAUUUCCUUUAAUUUGAUCAAGGAGGAAGUGAAAUUAUUACUAUAUAAAAAAAAAAGUGUAACAACACUCCCCCCUUUCUGCUAUAUUUGCACUUUUUUAGGAGACUUAUUAUUGUGCUUUUUAUUUCUAGAAAGUGAACCAAACCCUUGUUUAAUUCAUGUAGUGAUCCAAAUAUUGCAACUGCAACGUUUUCUAUCAAAUUUCAGUGGAACAACUUUUGAGAUUAUGUAAACUGUCAAGAGUUAUUAGGCUUUCUGGUUUUCAGAGUGUUGGUAGCUGAGUUGUUGAAGCCUAAAGCUAAAGGGAACUUCUGCAUGUAGCGAUAGAGACAACAUUCAAAAAUACUUCUAGUCAAGAAAGAUACAAAAAGAGGGUAAGUGAACGAUACUAUAUAAUACCAAGAAUGUAAGAAACUUACCUUCUCUCUGAGAGAAUGAACACACAAGUGGUGGCUUAAACAGACAUUUAUUAUUUUGCUUUCUGCAUUUAAAUCAAGCACACACCUAAAUACUGCUUUUACUGAGACUUAAGCAUAUGGGUAUCUUCACUCAUGUUAGAGGCUGGGAACGUUGUCUAGAGCCACAGUAUGAAUGUGCUGCAUUCAGCGUUUGCAAAAAUGUACUGCUUUUCCUUCCAGCACUGAGUGAUCCUGGAGACGUAUUUAUUGCAUUCUACCGCAGCUUGAGUUUUCUUCUGAUCCCUGGAAUAGGAAACAUGGCCAUGAUGUUUAACUCCCGAACAAGACGCAGCAAAUGUGUUGCUGCUUGGGAAUGCGAUAUUCUUUAUCAAUACCAAAAAAAGGUCUUUUCUUUCAAAGCAAGAGCACAACAAAAGAAAGCCAAACCUGACCUCAUUUGUUGGUAGCAGUGUCGAGAUGAACUGCAGCUCUGACCUAUUUCUCCAGCGUUACAAUUAUCUGCUGUAAUGGUAGCAAGGAAGGGAUUCAGAUUCCACUAACGACAACUUUUGGAGCAGAACUGAACAGAAGAUACUGUCAUGGUUUGCCCCAAAAUGAGACUGAACAUUGUUGUUACACCGGAGGGAUGUUAAUUGAGAAUGGGCAGAAGAAGAGGAAGGUGGCUGUUCUUUGCUGUCUGAUAUGCAACCUGCCCGUUAUAGUUCAGGACUCCUCAUCUUGCUGAGCAGCUGAGACUGGAAAGGUGAUGAAGGAAAUGAUACAACUAGAGUCCCGUCUCCACAUCCCGAAGUAAAGAAGUGAUCUUAACAUCAUGGGGAGGACAUAUGCCUGUAGGUCAAGUAAAGAGAGUCUGAAGAACAACUAGAUCAACAAGGAAGCCACACAGAAGCAGAAACAGAAACCUGAAUCAAUAAUCAGUCAAGCCCAUCAAUUAUGCAACUCAUUUUGUACUGAUGUAAGUAGAUGCUUAAUUCUGAAGCAACUUGUACCUGGGGAAAAGGAGUGGAAGAGACUGUUACAUCCCCAUAGACAGCAGCUAACGCAGAGCAUGACAACAGUGAAGAGAUGGAGCACGCGAGAGAUGCAAAACCGCUGUCUAAAAGUCAGGAGCGGUGGAGAUAUCCAAAGAGAGGAGAAUAUGGACCUCAGGAGAAGAAAUUCUUUUAGAAGCAUAUACAUAUCUGAAUUUGACCCAUCUUUAUAUCAGGUGAGGGAUCUGAUCUAAAAGGACAUUUCUGUGACAAAGAGUGGAAAGUUGUCAUCAGGCCAUGGAGAAAUCUCUUCAAUUCCAUGUUGGAAUUCAGGAACAGAGGAAUGAAAGAUCAAACUAGCUCACAUGCUGCACCUCUUAAAGCAGCUUUUUUUUCAAAAAUAGAAAUAAUAUCUGAUCUCACCCUUAAAAAAAAACCAAAACAAAAAAAAACCAAAAACCCUUGUACAGAAAGUUAAAAAAAGUCCUGGAUCGGAUUCUGUGGUCAGUAGCUCAAGUGGCUUAGUAUGAUCAAAACUCCAGUCAAGUUUUUUUGGAAGAGUUCAGAUUCCUCCAUGUAUAUGCCUGUGCUGGAGCUGUUGCAGCAUGACAAACAGCCAGCCAGCAGCAGCCAACAUUAUGAGACAGCUGCCAUGGAGGGCAAUGACAGCCCACUGUGGGGUGGAAUUCCAGCUGAACCACAGCGCAUCGCCAUCGCUGGAGGAUUAAUUACAUUAUGUCAAGGUAAGCAUGAAACAUCAUAACAAAUUCUAGAUACUAUUUCAGAGAAAGAGACUUCAAAGAGUUCCUGGCUUCAGACCACCUUGGUCUAAGCUCUGUCUCUGGUAGCCUUCUAUAUGAGAUGCACGUAAGAUAGAUAGAUGAUACAUAUAUACAUACAUACAUACAUAUAUACAUACAUACAGGGCUUGCAGCACCAGUCCACGGUCUCUGACCAUCUCCUUGUGAGUCCAGAAAGGCAAACAGCAUUUGAACAGGCAGCAGCCUGGCAGCUAAUAAACAGCACAUUACGCUGCAUCUCAUAAAUCUCCAUGAAGUUCAUUUAUUCUUUUCUGAGAAUGAAUAACUAAUGUGAAGCCUCUUCUUGCCAGUUAUUGUAGCAGUACACAAAGUGAUUUAGAUGUGGAAGCUGCUAUUAAUAGCAGCAAACAAGCUACUAAUUGGGUGGUUAUAUAAUGGCAAUGUUAUGAAACCUAGUUUGGGUUUGACACCUUCUGUUUUCUAAAAACAACAUUAAAACCCCCAAACAAAUCUAUGGUUGGCAACAUGUAACAUGAAACAAAGUCUAAAUAAUUACUGAUCUUUCAAAACUCAAAUAGGAUUUAAAAGGGGGGGUGGGAUAUCAAUUCAUGUAUCUGAAUUCUGGCUGAAAUAAGCUGGAAGUGAAUCAUUCCACAGAUCUGCUGUUCUAAGGGCUAGUUUAAAGUGAUUUUCUGUAAUACCUGCCUUGCGAAUAGUGACCAAAAAAUCAAAGUGGCCUGUUUUGGUGAUUUGUGAAAUCUCUGAAUUUUUUUUUUCUAUUUAAAAAAAUGGGCUUUGAAUGAGUAUGAACAGAAUACAGUUUAAGGAGAAAGAAUGACCAGAAAUCUCUCUGUGACACACACUGAUGCAAAUCACGUACUAGGAUUAGGCACGGAACUCGACUUUUGUAAAUGACAAUACACACGUACCUAUGCAGUUUGACAUUUUUUAAGUAACUUGGGGGGAAAAAAAAAAAGAGGGAAAAAAAAAAAAAGAGAGAGAAAGAAAUGGGGUGACAUUUAACAAAUGUCCCCUGCCGUACAGAAGGGGAGAAUAUUGCACUCCAUUAGGAGAGAAGCUUUUAUCUGGGGUGGCCCUUUGCAGUGCCUCUGUGCUUGGUUAUUCUGCAGGCUGGGCCUCCCUAACGCCAUGUACAGCACAAGGAACUUCUCCUGAUGAAACCCAGCUAUUGUCCUCUAGCUGUGAGGUUAUUCUCCUUUUGAUACACCAAAUGCUGCAGAAUACAGAGUCUGUAAGCAGGAGGAUCCCUCCAGAGGUCUGUGGUUAUAUGUGUACAGUAAUAUUUAAAGAGAUGAAAAUUCUUGAUCAAGACCACACAGCUCCAGUGCCUCUUGGUUUAAUCUCUGCCCGUGAAGUUACCUCUCAACAUGCAUGGUGCCAGCAAUUGUUUGAUCAGCAUUACCUGUAACCUUUUGCUGCCAGGGUAAUCAAGGCUGCCACUCCAGAACUGCCUCCUUAAUGACGGAACCCAGGAUUCUCAGACAAGCAAUCUCAUGAACACUUCAGCUACCUACAAACACAUAAUAACCUCAUGUUUGCGCAGAAAAAGAUGUGAAGUUGCUUCCAGCUGAGCCACCUCUUACAUUUCCAGAGGCAAUGAGAGUGGGAGAAGCAGCGUGGGAGGGAAGCAGGGUGCGGUGGCAGCAUCAUGACCUGCACGUAAAGGAAUUUAUCCCCUGACACAGAGUGAGUAUAGCAGCAUGUGCUGUCCCGCAGGAGCCAGACACAGCCUACGUACACACAGCUAUAUGCAACCAUCGCAUGGAUUGCCUCCGUCAUCUGCAGCAGUUUUGCAACUGGUAGGAUAUUUUGGGUUAUUCUCUUUUUAAUUGCUUUUUAUCUGGCAACAGCUACUAUACUCAGGCACGCUGACUCCACAUUAUUUUCCACUCCUUGUCAUUUUAGAUUGUCUAGGUGAUGAUAAAAACCUUGACUUACCCAGCGCAGUGUUGGGAAGGGUUCAUACCAAUAAAGGAAAGGCUACUUCAGUUCCUUCAUUGUUAAAGCACCCAGAGGAAGCAGCUGAAGGGCUUACAGAGAUUGGAUGUACAACAUCCCAGCACCACAGUAAUUACAGCAAGCACGCCUAAAAAGCUGUGAUAACUUAGGAUUCAGCAACUGUUGAAAGGAACAAGACAUUGUAGAAACCAAGCAGGAAUUUGGGUGGUCCAGAUGUCUUCCACAUGUAUCCAGUUAAUUAUUGAGAACUAGAAUCUCUUGUCCAUUAUAUCUGUGUGUGUACAUCUAUAUCAGUAUGCAUAAAUAUAUAGAUAGAGAUAUAUUUAUGUUUAAACAAAUAUUUCCGGACUAUUAAUCUAUUCAUUAGAAUAUUUUGCAAUCACGAUGUGGCAAAUAAUACCAGAAUCUUCUCCUACAAUAAAGUAUGGGCAUGCUUUCCUACACCCACACAUCAGAUGAAAUGAUUUUUCUCUUGAAUGCAUCUUUUUGCUAAUAGUAUAGUUUUUCUGCAUUGUUACUGCUCUUCCUUAAUGUCACUUGCAUGAGAAGGAAGAGGGAUAUAGCAGUUCCUCUGAGAAGUAACGCUAUUUCAUGUUUCUGUUGUGGUAGUAUCGAAGGGUUCCAAUAGGGGACAAACUUACUUUGUCACCCAUCUCACUGUAGGACAGAGUUUAUCAGACCUGCAAAGUUCACCCAUACUCCUAUGAUUUCUUAAUUCUCGAUUACCUUGAAUUUAUACUGGUAUAAAUGUAUUCUUUUACAAUACCUCAAAAACUUUUAAAAUACUUUAAAUGCUGUCUAAAUCUUUCAAUGCUGUUUACAUCGUAAAUACCUUAAAAUAUUUGAAAGUUACCUUUAAAUGUUGUUUAAAUAUGGGAUUUUUUUUCCUAUGUCUGAUGUCAUUUUUUCCGCUCCGUUAGUGUUUUUUCCACUCUGCAUUGCAGCCUGCAGUGAUAGCACAUCGAGCUACAACUUCUCUCUGUAUGUACUACCGAACCCUGGUUUUCCCAGGGUAUGGCAAGCCAAGCCUUCUCGCUGGUGAAUGCAUGGAAUUAUUGUCUGUCUGUUGCCUAUUAGUAUCCGUUACCAUUUCCUGCUGGGUUUAUAUAUACUUCGUUUCAUGUGUCGAUCAUAUUUUAAUUGAUUUCUGGCAUUUUAUGGCCAAAAUUUAUGAGAGAGGUGAAUGGACCAGUGAUUUCCAACGAUAAUUUUGUAGCCAGGUUACUUGUUUGCACAGAGCGCGAGGGAGGUUGGUUGUGACACCGCUCAGAUGCUAUUUUGGGAACCUAGCUUACAGAGUGUUAAAAUCCCAGACUGUUCCUGGGCCGUCUGGUACUGUGGUUCAAAAGAAGGAACACUUAGCUAGGCCGUGACUACGGCUGGGACAGAAGAGCCUUCCAGGGUGAGUAAGCUAUUUAGGUGCUCUUUUCUCCUUUGUGGUACUUAGCAGUGGAAGAUGGAAUCACAGAGGAAAAACAUGAGCUGAAGGAAAGAUGGUUUUCCCAUGGAAGCUACUUCUCUGCAGGAUACCAUCCAGGAAAUACCAUUUUUUGUUUUCCUCUGGAUUUUACCAGGCAUUUUAUUUUAUUUUAUUUUAUUAUUUUAAUUUUAAUAAAUAGAAAGACAAUUCUGAAUCAGAAAGAUUCCCUAGAUAGAAGUCAGGAUAGGGAAGGAGCUUACCUCCAGUGUCAGCUGGAGGAGAUGGUGUUGAACAUCCACACAGUGUAAGUGAGGGGGGAAAACAGACUGUACACGAGUAAUUCCUGUUGAUCUUAAACUAUCAAGAUCUUGCAGUACAGACUGCGGCUAUCACUGCACUUCUGGUACUGUUCUGUGCCAAUAACCAGUACUAUGAGUGUGGUAAAAUGUAGUCAGGGAAGCAAAAAUAGAUAAAAUUAAGAUAGUUAAUUAAUUCUGGUGACUAAGGUGUUAAAUCUGUAUUUACAGACAAAAUAACUAGUAAAGGUAUACAUACAGCAUAGAUGAAAACAUUGCAUAUGUCUAAUCAUUACUUGGGGUAUGAAUCACACUAUAUUUCAUAAUAAUUACUAUAAAAAUAGCUACUUGAGCCAAAACUUAGAUACAAUUAAGGAGAUUAAUCUAAUUCAGCAGGUUUCCAUGCCCUGUAUUGGCCAUCAAUGUUGCUUGAAAUAAAAAUGAUAGUAGCACAUCCAUCAUAUUUCAAAGUUCCAAAAGAAAACUAGUGGUCCAAGUUUGAAAAAAUCUAUCUUCUUAUUUAGACAAGUUAUUUAGUGCCAACACAUUGAAAGGAAGAUGGUGCUGCAAAGCUGAUACAGACCCAGGCUGAGUUAAAGUUCCUUCCUGCAACGCAGUAUUUCCGAAAGCUACUUGAAACAGCUUUGUUCGCUGGAAUAACGGAACCAAGGGGUGUCCAUCCCACCUGAACCUGGUGAGCCACAGCCUCUGAGCACUCAGAUGGUGCUGUGCAGGUACGUAUGUGCCCUGAGACAGUAGCUGUUGGAUCCGGUUACUGGUUUAUUGUUUGCUCUUUCCAAACAGUCUUCUAAUAAAGCUGCCCGUUAAUCCUGGCUGCAGCAGAGCUCAUGUAUGGCAUUGACUUCAGGUUAAAGUCACCCUUUUUUUGCUCCAUCCAACGAAGGGCCGCUGCACGGGAGCUGCUCUUGUCCCUCCCGGCAUGGACUGUGUUUGAAUGGCUGUAAGGGAAGGGCCUGCCUGCCUUCACUCCUUCCAUGAACUGCCCACGCUGCUUCGGAAUAGCAAAGGUGAGCAGAAAAAAGGAUACUGAAAUUGCUGAUUGUGCCCCUAGCCUGGGGAUUCUCUCAUUUGGUCAAAUGUCCCACUGUGAAAUGUCUCUCUGCAUUUCAGGCAAGGGGAUGGUGAAAGGCUAGGCUGGAGAAGACACUGGCCCACAGUUGAACCAAAUGUCAGAAAGACACAAACUCUUUGCACUUCAAUGUAUAUCCAGAGGGAACGUAAGCAGAGAGCUGACAGGUUCCUCUUUAAUUCCCUCAAUAAACAGAGAACAGUAAAGAGCUUUAUAGUAGCCCUUUGUACUGUAAAAGCAAGGAAAACAAGCGACAGGACAAGAGGGAACGGCCCCAGGCUGCGCCAGGGCAGGUUUAGGCUGGAUAUCAGGGAAAAAUGUCUUCAGGGAAAGGGUGGCCCGGCACGGGCACAGGCUGCCCGGGGAGGGGGCGGCAUCACCAUCCCUGGAGUAUUUACAAGACGUGUAAAUGCAGCAUUUAGGGACACAGUUUAGUGGUGGGCCUGGCAGUGCUGGGUUAGUGGUUUAACUUGAUCUCAAAGGUCUUUUCCAACUGAAAUGAUGCUGUGAUUCUAUGUUACAUAGAACUGAAACACUGCGGUCACAUUCACAGCUGUGCCUUUAUCAAGAUCUUUUGCACUACAACAACACACGUUCUGUGGAGCUCAAGAUAACAUGGUAAAGGAAAUGUUGGGAAAUGCUAGCACUCUUGCAAAUGAUUAAAACAAAAACAAAAAGGAAGAAAAAAGGGGUUUCUUGUAUUACCGAUGUACAUUUUGCAAAGCAAUUCCACUUGAAAAGAAACCAAAACUUCCCUUAUUCAAAUAGUUUUGCUCCAGUGAACUGAUUUAGACAAUUUGCACUUUAUUCAAGGAAUUGCUUUUACUUGAUAUUUUUUGGCCAGUAAAUAAGAAUGUAUUUUUCCUCUGAGUAUUCUGGAGUACGCUGAGUGUAAUUGGGAAGACGUAAGAAAUGGCAUUGUGACAAAGUUACUACCCCACAGGCUAGCUGUUUGGAAGUUGUACAUCUCUUUGUUCUUAUUUCCUGUCAUUUUUCUCUUACUAUUAGCACUCCCUGCUGUCUAGGUCAUGAAAUCAGUUUCUGCGUUUCUCCUCUACUUAAAUGUAAAGCCUCCCCGAGUCUUACAACUGUGUUUUUCUCAGAAGUCAGCCUUCUUCCCAGUCAACACUAGUGUCUUGACACUAGCCUGUGCUCUGGUUCUUUCAAGACCUUUCCCUUUUCUGACCAAACCUUUUCUCCCCUCUUUGGUUCAAUCUGUCCAAACUAUUGCCAUCAAAAUAUUUCCCUUUUCUCACCACUCUGAGAAUGCUCCCCUCCUUCUAAAAUCUCAGCAUUGACUUAUUUCCCCCUUAAAAUUCAAGUCUGCCUCUUUUCUCAGCUCCGUUACUGCUUGGUUCUGAUCUCUGCUCCUCUUGGAAAGCCUUUUCAUCUCCAGUGCUGGGAAUGCCUGUGUUUGGGAAGCAGGGGACGUUGUUAUUAAUUUCCUUCUUAAACUUUCCUCAUCAAAAGGAUGUUCUGAAUCUAAAAUGUACGCAGAUGACAUUACUUUGAGUCUUCUCCCUCAUUAGUUGUAGGAAAUGCCUGAAAAUAUUUACAAAACAAUCACCAAAAAGCAUUCAGAAUGCAGAUUCAGCACAACUUAAAUGCAUGCUAUUUCUACUACCUUUCUAAUAUUUAUAUAUUUUUCUACAUUUCUACUAUAAAUGAAGAGAUGUCUUAAAUUGUUAUUAUAUAUCCUUGGCUUUCAGUCCCUGGUUAGACCAGCCAGGGUUUGCUCCUUGUCAUAACUGGUGAUAAUAUCGAGCAGGCUUUUGGGUGACUUAGGAAUAACUGAAGCACAUCGCAUUAUUCCCAUUCCUUUUCACUGCCUCUCCCUGUCCUAGUUGUUACAGGAGCUGUGACACUGGAUUCAUAAGCCCAGCACACAGUCACACUGGGUUUGUAGCAUUCUGGAGUUGUGUGUCUUCUCGGUGGCUUUGUGGAGCUUGUGUAAGGCAAGGGGAGCACAGCAGACAAGUGAAUGCAGGCUCCUGUGUUUUCUACUUUAGUAGACCUGUGAGCUUCUAUCGAGUAUGUUAGCCAAGAUCAUAGUUAAUUCACAGUCUUGAUGAUACUGAAGUUUUCAUAGCCAGAAUUUCCAGAUGCAUAUACUUCUCUUGAAUUUACAUGACAAGGUAACAUUAAAAUGAGACCUCUUACCACGCCAGAGAAAUGCAUGUAUUUCUCAGAGUCUGUCACCACUGAACCAGAAGUAACUAACCGCUGGGAACUCUGGAAGGAGAUAUAUUUAUCUUUUCUGAGUCAUCCGAUCAUACAGGGCUCAAGGCUGGUGCUAAAACUUCCAGAAACAUUUGGAAAGCAACCACAGAAGUCCAUCAGUCAAAGAGCCCCCUCGAAGAGUGGCAGAAGGAAGCUAGAGAGGUGCGUCGGAGCCAGCACUCCGCUGUCAGGAUGUCCCUUCUCCACUCCUUCGGCUCCUGUCACACAUGCCACCUUCUCUGGCAUACCACCUCCUAAAUCAGGGGGCUUUUUGCUCACACUUCGUGGGCCUGACCCCUCCUGAAACUCCACAAGUUAGGUUGCAAUGACCCUAAAGCUGCGUCUCACUUUAAUGCUUGAUCUGCUUAUUUUUGUCAAUGCUAGUUUCCCUGAAGUAGUUCAACUGCUCCUACAUGUGAAAUGAGCAUUGUGGGGAACAGAUCUAUACCCCUGUCCAGACAAGAUUUCAUGAGCAGUUUUCCAAAAGUAACUUUAUUUUCUGGAGUCUGAUCAGGUGAGUUUUGUUGGUUUUCUUCCUUUACCUUUCCUUGGCAGGAGCUUUGUCAACGUGAUGAAUCUCCCUGGCAUCUUACCUAAGGCUGAUUCUUCCAUGUUGGAGAUCUCUUUCCCAUUUCUCCUCAAAGGAGAGUGGGGAGGAAUUUAAUGAGGUCUGGGUCUAUAUGAGUUCCAGAGAAAUUUGUAACAGUUAUGUCUGUAUUUGUCACAUCUGUACUUCAGACCAGAGCAGUUUUUUGUUAAUGUUGGCAGCUCUGAACAAAGAAAGUCUUAAAAUUUAUUAAAUGUAAACUAUGUUAGCCAGCUGAUGGGGAGGAAAAUCCAGACCACUUUCAUGGCACCUUGGAAUCAUUCAAUUUUAAUUCUUGAAAUUAACAUCAAAGAUAUUUUUGCUGUAUGGAAAAUUUUCAUAAUUUGAUUUCUUUUUUUAUGCUUAUCUGUUCGUCACUGUACUGGCUAACUGCAGCCUACCUGUGCCUAUGUGUGCGCACCCCAAGGUAUAGUUUCCUCUUGUUGUACAUAGCAAAUACAGAUAAGAAGUUUACAGCCUAGGGAGGUCUUACAGAAUUCAGUCUGGGGGCUCUUGUGGCUCUAGUGCCCAGGAAAAAAAAAAGCGUAGUCUGGGAAAAUCUUUUUGGUCUUCUCCUACGAAAUGACUUUUGAGGUUGAGCAGUAAUCUUGGCAGACUGUAAGCUAGCGUGCCUGCCUAAGGAUAUUUACAGCUCACCUUGUCUGAGCUGUUACCUUUAUCAUGUCCACCAGGUGAUCUGCUGAAAAAAGAAUCCCAUUACCUUUAGUAGCUGCUGGAAUGAGUCCUUAGUCAGCUCAGAGUAAGGUUGACCAGUAACCACUGGUCUUCCCUUAGAUCUGAAGACUCAAAAUGUUAUUGCUUAGAGCAGUGAUGUUUGCCGACUUUGUCACUGAAUCCUGAAUUUGGCAUCCCAUUGACAUGGUUUCAGUCAGUAAGUGCCUAAAACAGCAGCCUUCCGCAUGCUUUUCUGGGCUAUGCUCUUCCCUCUCACCUUCCAGUCUUUGCUCCAUCCACAAAUUCAUUCACAGCUUGAAUAUUUUUUUUAAAUAAUAUCUAUCAUUCAAAUCGAUUAUGCAAGUCACUGGCAAAAGGUAUAAUCGUUGCAGUGUUGCUGACUCCACUACUUGCUUGUAAGAAGCUGCUGUGUAAAUAUUGUAGUAUUUUGUUUGGUAGGAAUUAAUACAAAUCACUCAGCUCAAAAUUAAAGCAAAACCAGGACAAGCGUAUUAAAAAAUCGCUCUCUUCAAAAGCAUUAUUUUAAAGGAACAUUCUUAAUUAAAAAUACCUUCAAAUAAAAAAGAAGGAAAAUGUUUUACUUAAAAUUCUGAGAUGAAACUUGGAUCUUAUUAGAGCAUUUCUGUUUCCUUUCCAAUGCAAACAAAUUAAAACAUCUCAGUUUUGCUAAGCCUGUAUUUUUGUCCCUGGCAUGCACACACAAAAAGCUUAAACACCCCCCACCCCCCCCCCCAAACGCAUGAAUUUUUCACCUAGUUCUCCCUGUAAUGCUUCUAGAGGUAGGAGUUAAAUGGCCAGCAAUGCCUUCUAGUCUGUCAAGGGUAAUGCUUUUUUAGGCCAGAGAGGUUUUGUUCUCCUGCAUACCAAGAGCGUGACAGAAUCACUGAGCUAUCAAAUCAGUUAUUCUGCCAACAUCUUUCUGGUUCACUGAAGAGUAAAUUAAUCCUACGUAAGAGUGCUCCAUCAGGAGAGUAAGAGCAAGCACACACACUGCCAUAGUCAGGUAGUAAGGUGCUUGCCAGAAGUGUAAAUAAUGGAUAAAUAAUUAAUUUUCUUUGGGGAACCAUCAAGGAUCUACUUCUCUGAGUGCUUAUGCAGACAUGGUGGAACAACUGCAGCAAGGGACUGAGCAAGAGAACUUCUCCAUGGAAAGAAAACAAGCCCUAGGGCAGGUUGCUCAGCAGCUCCACCACUGCUCUUAUGUCUCACUGGAGACAUGGGGUGUCUGGGAAUGGCACCGGUUUCUGGCAUUAGCACUGAGCAGGAGGUGUUUGGGAGGAGCUGCUCCAGCACGAGACGUUAGGACACACCUUAGGUCACCAUCAUCCACUUGGGAAUGAGAAGCUGCAAGGACUGAGUCUCUGGCAUGCCGACUAGGUGGUGUUACCAGUGCUUCUGGUGUCAUGCACCCACACCCCACCCCACCCCUCCAUCCCCAGCUUUACUUAGGAAAGUCCAGCAGUUCCAAUGAGCAAACAAAAGAGAGGGACAGUGUAUGGUGCAACAGAUAACCCAGUACUGGCCUGAAAUCUGUUGCCUCCAGUUCAAACUGUUACAAUGAACUGUAAGCCCAUGUUGCCUUCUGUGUGAUUUCUCACAGUUGAUCCUUCUUUUAUCCUGUUCUUACAUCUUUCAUUGUUUCCACAUACCUGUUUGAUCUUUCAUUGACUAACCUCUCUCCAUUUUUCCUGCUGUCUUCAGAUGCUCGUUUUUCUAUUGAAAAACAUUCACAUUGAUUAUUUCUGUUUCUGAGCCCAACAACUGUUUUACUUUCUUUCAAUUUCCCUUUACUUACUCCUUUUCUUGAGAAAAAGUUUUCUCCCUUUGUUCCCUGCCUUCUUCAUUUGUUAUGUUUCUGUUAUUCUCCAUUCCAGUUACAAAACUCAUUUACUCUCUGUCUCUCUUCUCAUCUCACUACACAAGCCCCGUAACUUCAGCAGCCCCAGGUUUGUCGGUCUAAUUUCCCCUUUCCAUCUGCUGUCUAACACCUCUCCCUUCCUCCCACACAGCACUCUUUUCCCUUUCUGUUUCUGGUUUGACAUCUCUCCUCUGACUUCUCCAUUGUACUCCUCCCCACCGCUCUCCCUGCUGAUGGUGCCAGCAGAAACGUUUAGCGUUGGUGCAUUACCCCAUAGAUCUCCACUUCCUUCCCCUCCCUGAUGCUCCUUAGACCAAGCCCACGACCCCCUCGUCCGGUUCAGGCAUGCUUGCCAUGCAUUAUCAGCGCAAGCCUCCAUGGAAAAACAACAGUACUUUGAACAUGCUGUGAAGGAGGCAUUUGGAUCACACUUUAAAUCAACAAGAUGGGGGUAUUUUAUUGAUCACAUUGCAGUUUUUCAGCUUUACUGCAGUGAUGUACCUGUAAUUGCUCCAGUGUUUUUGAUCAGUUGCCCCAAGGCAAUAAGCGCUUUGCCACAAGAAUAUGUGUGACCUUGGGAAGGCCCAAGGAUUUCUGUUCAAGACCGUCUGGUCGUAAAGCAAGUAUUUAUCGAAAUCUAAGAUUACUCAGGUUUUCAGGCCAUUUUCUGUCUAGACCUCUGCUGCAAAUGGCUGUUGCAUUUGCUCACAAACUAAAUAGACAAUAUUCCUAGCAGUACUCAUAAUGAGAAGUCUACAUGAGUGACCUUUUGAAAACUCUUGACUCCUUCAAAAUGUAAGCAAAUUGAAAAUAUCUAUUUGCAAGACCAGAAAUAAAAUGAAAACCUCACUUUGGCUAUCUAAAAAUAAAGCCAUAUAAAGCAAAGACCUUGCUGGAUAGCAAACUCUUAAAAUAAAUACAAUUUCCUUUGCCACAAUAAAUGUUGUUUCAGAUUCUGAAGUUGAAUACAUAACUCAUUCCACUGAGCUGUAACAUUUUGUUAAACUGCAGGAACUUCAGAGGAACAGCUCUUCAGUUUCAUAAAGACUUGCACUGCCUGCUGCUCUCUUAAAUAAAACACUUCUGGGGAAAUGUGCCCCAGGAUGGUUUUGAAGCCUUUUUUUAGUUCAUUAUUGAGAUCUGACUUUCUGCAUCCAUUAGAUCAGGGGUCCUCAAACUUUUUAACCAGGGGGCCGGCGUGCGGAUGAAGUGGCAGGCAGUCAUCUGCGGCUGCUUGGUUCCCCGCCCCAGCCCCCGGCAGGGGGGGGGCGGGGGGGGGUCUGUAAAUACCGGGGGCCGGAUUGAGGACCCUGGGGGGCCGUAUCCAGCCCACAAGCCCUAGUUUGAUGAUCCCUGCACUAGAUCAACCACAGAUUAAUUGUUUCUGUGGCCUUAAUAGAAACGUGAAGGUCUAACCAGCUUUUAGAAGUUAACCUAGCAGGCCAGGUCCUUGGCUGCCAUUCUGGCUGCUUUGGUCUGCUCAGGAAGAAUUUGGAAAAUGUAUGGAGUGCUUAAACGGCAGCUACAAAUUGUGGUUUUGUUUCAGCUCAAGAGUGAACUACAUUUAAGAGAUGAUUGUGGUAAAAAGAAAAAAAAACUCUAAACUGAAGUGUUUCCAAGCUAUUUAUCACUUCCCUAGUGUCUCUCCUUGUGGAAAUUCUCCAAGACUUACGAUACUGAUCUUGUAAACAGUUAUUUUCUAUUUUCUUUCCUUAGCUCCUGUAAUAAAAGUCAUGCUUGAUAUUUCUGUCAGAACUCCUUGGCCCUUCUUGGAC
Molecule: long non-coding RNA, 14346 nt
Organism: Falco peregrinus (peregrine falcon)
Lineage: Eukaryota; Metazoa; Chordata; Aves; Falconiformes; Falconidae
Exons: 6
Source: RefSeq, a predicted model, not a curated record